AAAAAAAGUAAAUAUUGUACAUUAUAUAAACAUUAGUAAUAAUGUACAAUAUAUAAAUGUUAGUAAAUAAUGUACAAAUGUUACUGUUAGAAUUAAAUAUAUAUUAUGUGCAGCCUAAAAUAAUUUUUUUCUUCAAAUGUGGCCCAAGGAAGCCAAAAGAUUGGAUAUCACUGCUUUGCAUGAUGAUUGACCUUAUAGUGAUUGUGAAAACUAUAGUGGAUUUUAGAGUGGCUCUGCCAUUUAAUACUAACAGGAUAGAAAAUUGCAUAAAACUUUGAAAAAAAUAAAUAUGAAGGGAUGUUAACUGAUAUUUGAUUUAUUAGUAUAUUUUUGGUUUGAUUGUAGUUGAAGAAAAAUUCAUCCAUUGUUUCACCUAUGUAUGUAAGUAGCAAUUAAAGAAUGCUCUCCUAUUUCCACUAGUAGCCUACAAUAUUUGUUUUGGCGGGAUCUGUUCCUUCUUUCUUCAUGCUGUUUUAUACUUGUCUCACUUUGUUUUUCAUUUUUCAAAGGUUUAACCAUAGAUUUGGUGAUUCUAAUGGAUAGUAAAAUACCUGCUGCUUAGUAUCUUAAAGGAUAGAAAGUGACAGAAAAUUUAAUAGGAGAGAAAAGUCAUUGAAGGACUUUUGGAAGACUGUCAGUAUCCUAAAUGAAGUGAGGUAUAAAGGAGAUUCAUGCACAGAUUUUUCUAAGAAAACAAUGAAUGGCAUCUGGAAGAAUGUUUAUUCUGUCUGAAGUGGCUUCUGACCUG
This 748-nucleotide long non-coding RNA is filed under the name Androctonus crassicauda. The record is from RNAcentral. Lineage: Eukaryota; Metazoa; Arthropoda; Arachnida; Scorpiones; Buthidae.